UACGAAGGGGGCUAGCGUUGCUCGGAAUCACUGGGCGUAAAGGGUGCGUAGGCGGGUCUUUAAGUCAGGGGUGAAAUCCUGGAGCUCAACUCCAGAACUGCCUUUGAUACUGAGGAUCUUGAGUUCGGGAGAGGUGAGUGGAACUGCGAGUGUAGAGGUGAAAUUCGUAGAUAUUCGCAAGAACACCAGUGGCGAAGGCGGCUCACUGGCCCGAUACUGACGCUGUGGCACGAAAGCGUGGGGAGCAAACAGG
RNAcentral lists this ribosomal RNA (253 nucleotides) under uncultured bacterium. Its description in RNAcentral is "partial 16S ribosomal RNA". It matches the Rfam family "Bacterial small subunit ribosomal RNA", at positions 524 to 776 of the family's 1533-position model. The record is from RNAcentral.